This 76-nucleotide transfer RNA is filed under the name Kiritimatiellia bacterium. RNAcentral's name for it is "Kiritimatiellae bacterium (sponge metagenome) tRNA-Glu". It matches the Rfam family "tRNA". Rfam says of the family: Transfer RNA (tRNA) molecules are approximately 80 nucleotides in length. Their secondary structure includes four short double-helical elements and three loops (D, anti-codon, and T loops). Further hydrogen bonds mediate the characteristic L-shaped molecular structure. tRNAs have two regions of fundamental functional importance: the anti-codon, which is responsible for specific mRNA codon recognition, and the 3' end, to which the tRNAs corresponding amino acid is attached (by aminoacyl-tRNA synthetases). tRNAs cope with the degeneracy of the genetic code in two manners: having more than one tRNA (with a specific anti-codon) for a particular amino acid; and 'wobble' base-pairing, i.e. permitting non-standard base-pairing at the 3rd anti-codon position. The record is from RNAcentral. Lineage: Bacteria; Pseudomonadati; Kiritimatiellota; Kiritimatiellia.
GCCCCCAUCGUCUAGUGGACUAGGACGUCGGGUUCUCAUCCCGGAAACACGGGUUCGAUUCCCGUUGGGGGUGCCA